GGUCCGCUGGCUCAAUGGCAGAGCGUCUGACUACGAUUGUACGACUCACUCCUCCUCUGGGAUAUCGAGGGAGAUCUGAUCAAGUUAUCAGGAGGUUCCAGGUUCGACCCCUGGGUGGAUCG
This is a transfer RNA of Chaetomium globosum CBS 148.51, 122 nucleotides long. It matches the Rfam family "tRNA". From Rfam's summary of the family: Transfer RNA (tRNA) molecules are approximately 80 nucleotides in length. Their secondary structure includes four short double-helical elements and three loops (D, anti-codon, and T loops). NCBI's taxonomy places the organism in Eukaryota, Fungi, Ascomycota, Sordariomycetes, Sordariales, Chaetomiaceae. The record is from Rfam.